RNAcentral lists this ribosomal RNA (253 nucleotides) under uncultured bacterium. RNAcentral describes it as "partial 16S ribosomal RNA". It matches the Rfam family "Bacterial small subunit ribosomal RNA", at positions 524 to 776 of the family's 1533-position model. The record is from RNAcentral.
UACGUAGGGGGCAAGCGUUAUCCGGAUUUACUGGGUGUAAAGGGAGCGUAGACGGACUUGCAAGUCUGAUGUGAAAAUCCGGGGCCCAACCCCGGAACUGCAUUGGAAACUGUAUAUCUAGAGUGUCGGAGAGGCAAGUGGAAUUCCUGGUGUAGCGGUGAAAUGCGUAGAUAUCAGGAGGAACACCAGUGGCGAAGGCGGUCUGCUGGACAGCAACUGACGCUGAGGCGCGAAAGCGUGGGGAGCAAACAGG